Molecule: ribosomal RNA, 646 nt
Filed under: Streptococcus mutans
Lineage: Bacteria; Bacillati; Bacillota; Bacilli; Lactobacillales; Streptococcaceae
Description: bacterial SSU rRNA
Rfam family: Bacterial small subunit ribosomal RNA
Source: RNAcentral
AAAGUCUGACCGAGCAACGCCGCGUGAGUGAAGAAGGUUUUCGGAUCGUAAAGCUCUGUUGUAAGUCAAGAACGUGUGUGAGAGUGGUAAGUUCACACAGUGACGGUAGCUUACCAGAAAGGGACGGCUAACUACGUGCCAGCAGCCGCGGUAAUACGUAGGUCCCGAGCGUUGUCCGGAUUUAUUGGGCGUAAAGGGAGCGCAGGCGGUCAGGAAAGUCUGGAGUAAAAGGCUAUGGCUCAACCAUAGUGUGCUCUGGAAACUGUCUGACUUGAGUGCAGAAGGGGAGAGUGGAAUUCCAUGUGUAGCGGUGAAAUGCGUAGAUAUAUGGAGGAACACCAGUGGCGAAAGCGGCUCUCUGGUCUGUCACUGACGCUGAGGCUCGAAAGCGUGGGUAGCGAACAGGAUUAGAUACCCUGGUAGUCCACGCCGAAAACGAUGAGUGCUAGGUGUUAGGCCCUUUCCGGGGCUUAGUGCCGGAGCUAACGCAAUAAGCACUCCGCCUGGGGAGUACGACCGCAAGGUUGAAACUCAAAGGAAUUGACGGGGGCCCGCACAAGCGGUGGAGCAUGUGGUUUAAUUCGAAGCAACGCGAAGAACCUUACCAGGUCUUGACAUCCCGAUGGUAUUCUUAGAGAUAGGAAGU